RNAcentral lists this ribosomal RNA (497 nucleotides) under uncultured bacterium. Its description in RNAcentral is "partial 16S ribosomal RNA". It matches the Rfam family "Bacterial small subunit ribosomal RNA", at positions 28 to 507 of the family's 1533-position model. The record is from RNAcentral.
GAUGAACGCUGGCGGCGUGCCUAAUACAUGCAAGUCGAGCGAACGGACGAGAAGCUUGCUUCUCUGAUGUUAGCGGCGGACGGGUGAGUAACACGUGGAUAACCUACCUAUAAGACUGGGAUAACUUCGGGAAACCGGAGCUAAUACCGGAUAAUAAUUUGAACCGCAUGGUUCAAAAGUAAAAGACGGUCUUGCUGUCACUUAUAGAUGGAUCCGCGCUGCAUUAGCUAGUUGGUAAGGUAACGGCUUACCAAGGCAACGAUGCAUAGCCGACCUGAGAGGGUGAUCGGCCACACUGGAACUGAGACACGGUCCAGACUCCUACGGGAGGCAGCAGUAGGGAAUCUUCCGCAAUGGGCGAAAGCCUGACGGAGCAACGCCGCGUGAGUGAUGAAGGUCUUCGGAUCGUAAAACUCUGUUAUUAGGGAAGAACAUAUGUGUAAGUAACUGUGCACAUCUUGACGGUACCUAAUCAGAAAGCCACGGCUAACUACGUG